Molecule: non-coding RNA, 30 nt
Filed under: Mus musculus (house mouse)
Lineage: Eukaryota; Metazoa; Chordata; Mammalia; Rodentia; Muridae
Source: RNAcentral
UGAAUCAGUUAACUGGACAGUUCAGUCAUG